RNAcentral lists this long non-coding RNA (360 nucleotides) under Malus domestica (apple). RNAcentral describes it as "long non-coding RNA (MDOM_LNC000166)". The record is from RNAcentral. Lineage: Eukaryota; Viridiplantae; Streptophyta; Magnoliopsida; Rosales; Rosaceae.
GCGACAACCCAAAUCAUUCUCUAAAAGUCCCCUAUAUGAAUGCAUAAUAGAGAUACAAUCAGAGAUCAUUACAUUCAAUGAAAAUCAUAAGUGUUGACGAGGCAAUUAUAACUAUGAAUGCAUGAUACAAUUGCCAAGAAUUCAAUUAACGUGAUUGUGAUAAACAACCUUCACUACUCAUGAAUAUAAACUUGUAACGAUUAGGUGAAACUCAUUUAUAUUCUAGCAUCUAAUUAAUGCAUGAAAACUAAGUAUGCAUCCUUAAUAAACAUACAAGAAUCAGUUAUGAAAAAAAUAGAUAAUUGAAUUGCAAUCACAACUUAUCAAAUCACAAUUGGAAGAAAUCAAUUCAAAUCUCAA